AUUGAACGCUGGCGGAAUGCUUUACACAUGCAAGUCGAACGGUAGAGGGGGCAACCCCUCGAGAGUGGCGAACGGGUGAGUAAUAUAUCGGAACGUGCCCAGUCGUGGGGGAUAACGUAGCGAAAGUUACGCUAAUACCGCAUACGAUCUAAGGAUGAAAGCGGGGGAUCGCAAGACCUCGCGCGAUUGGAGCGGCCGAUAUCAGAUUAGGUAGUUGGGGGGGUAAAGGCUCACCAAGCCAACGAUCUGUAGCUGGUCUGAGAGGACGACCAGCCACACUGGAACUGAGACACGGUCCAGACUCCUACGGGAGGCAGCAGUGGGGAAUUUUGGACAAUGGACGCAAGUCCGAUCCAGCCAUUCCGCGUGCAGGAUGAAGGCCCUCGGGUUGUAAACUGCUUUUGUACGGAACGAAAAGGUCUCUCUUAAUACGGGGGGCUCAUGACGGUACCGUAAGAAUAAGCACCGGCUAACUACGUGCCAGCCGCCGCAGUAA
RNAcentral lists this ribosomal RNA (496 nucleotides) under uncultured bacterium. Its description in RNAcentral is "partial 16S ribosomal RNA". It matches the Rfam family "Bacterial small subunit ribosomal RNA", at positions 30 to 523 of the family's 1533-position model. The record is from RNAcentral.